This 468-nucleotide ribosomal RNA is filed under the name uncultured bacterium. RNAcentral's name for it is "partial 16S ribosomal RNA". It matches the Rfam family "Bacterial small subunit ribosomal RNA", at positions 28 to 507 of the family's 1533-position model. The record is from RNAcentral.
GACGAACGCUGGCGGCGUGCUUAACACAUGCAAGUCGAACGGAAAGGCCCUGCUUUUGUGGGGUGCUCGAGUGGCGAACGGGUGAGUAACACGUGAGUAACCUGCCCUUGACUUUGGGAUAACUUCAGGAAACUGGGGCUAAUACCGGAUAGGAGCUCCUGCUGCAUGGUGGGGGUUGGAAAGUUUCGGCGGUUGGGGAUGGACUCGCGGCUUAUCAGCUUGUUGGUGGGGUAGUGGCUUACCAAGGCUUUGACGGGUAGCCGGCCUGAGAGGGUGACCGGCCACAUUGGGACUGAGAUACGGCCCAGACGCCUACGGGAGGCAGCAGUGGGGAAUAUUGCACAGUGGGCGGAAGCCUGAUGCAGCAACGCCGCGUUCGGGAUGACGGCCUUCGGGUUGUAAACCGCUUUCGCCUGUGACGAAGCGUGAGUGACGGUAAUGGGUAAAGAAGCACCGGCUAACUACGUG